GCAGACCAAAUCUGCCUUUUAGAGGAAAAGGUGUCACUGGAUUGCAGAGGGAAAGCUUGUGUAGCAGCUGGGUGCUCUCACCUGAUAGCACCGAGAGCUGCCACACAGCUUGUUAUGGGCUUUUCAUUUAAGGAGAAAAAUAUUGCCCAGAUCAACCGAGUAGUUCUGGACCUGUAUUUUGUAUUCCAAAGGCAAAGGGAUUCACCAAGACACACAGCAAAUGCAGUGCUGGGGCUGGAGCACAGAGGCACAGAUGAAGGAGAGAGAUGGAGAAUGAUUUGUCUUGCCAAAGCUUCACAAACAAGUGAAUGUCACAGGUAUGGUCUUAACUCAGGAGAUCCUGGACUCCUCGUGUCUUGUGGACAGCCUCAUACUCUGCUGCGUGCUGGCACAUGUUGCAAGCUACAAGAUAAUGCUUCAGAAAGAGAAAACAAAUAAACAAAAGCAGCUGGAAAUUCCUUCCUGACCCCCUAUGACAGCUAUGUGGCACAGAAGAUGAGCUCCUCCCUCUGUCUGUGGCUGAUGAAGGAGGCUGAAUUGUCCUGCCUGAUGAAGUCCAGUCUCCCUCUUCUUCUGCUUUCUUGUAGACACAUUUGCAGCAUUUCUAUCAGUG
RNAcentral lists this long non-coding RNA (613 nucleotides) under Numida meleagris (helmeted guineafowl). Its description in RNAcentral is "lncRNA (ENSNMEG00000011662.1)". Lineage: Eukaryota; Metazoa; Chordata; Aves; Galliformes; Numididae. The record is from RNAcentral.